GUGAUGGUGGCAGCGAUGGCAAUGGGCCGGGCAGGGACCAUGGAAGUGGUGGCAGAGGUGGCAGGAGUGGGGCAGCUGGCGGUGGAGAAGGCUGUGGUCUUCAGGGGUCUGUAGGUGGAGGCAUGGCUCGGGCCAGCAGCAGGAACAGCAGCGAAGAGGCCUGGGGGGCACUUCAGGCUCCGCAACAGCAGGUAUCCCAGCACCUCUAAAAGCUUAUCUCACGACAGCCAUUUAUUUCUCUUUCCCCUUUCCUGUCACUUCCUGUCCGGGGUGGGGGAGGAGUUCAUGGAGCCAAAGGUACUAUGAAGUUCCCCAACAUGACCAUUCUACUCUUUGUCUAAACUUCUUACGUAGACACGGUUGACUUUACCUGCAGCCUCUUAGACCCCAUCUCGUGGUUGCAGUGCAAGCCCGCAGUGGCUCUCCAGUUACCAGAGGCGUAGUGAAAACCCCAGGGAGGCUCCCUGUGUCUUGCCGCAGUUAUUUGUGAUGUUUUUCUAUGUGCCUAUUGUCACAGCAGAGUCCGGCAGCAUCUUCUCUUGAGGGAGCAAUUUGGAGACGAGCUGGAACCCAGACUCGCGCCCUGGAUGCCAUCCUUUAUCAUCCACAGCAAUCCCAUCUGGUUGGGAGCACUGCUCUGGGUCUCACACUGCUCCUCCUCUACCCUAGGGAGCUUGAGACCCAGGGGUGGAAAAAAAAAAUCUGUCCCGGGAGUGUGGGAGGCAGAUCUUCUGGGUGGGAGAUGUUAAAAGCUUUUUAGCUUUGGAAAUGGUCUUAAAUUCCUACACAUCGUCAGGACUAUGUUUUGUUUCUCCUAAAACAUUACCUUACCAAAAACCACCCUUGGGGCUAGGCUUAUGUGAGAAAAGUCUUGGGUUAAAAGAACUGAAGUCACCUUUGUGUAUUUAUACUCUACUUUCUACACUAGUUUCUGGCUAUUCUAAAUCUUCCAUACUGACAACCCUACAUACAGACACUCAUUUUAGCAUCCCCAUGCCAUCCUUCUAAGCUAGGUUGGCUCGUGGGUGGGAUUGUGUAUGUGCGUGCAGGAGGUGGGGGUGGACAGGGCCUUGGAUAGAAUCCCCUAGUUCUUAGUGCCUCCUUGCCUCCAGCUUCGAGAGCUGUGCCCAGGAGUGAAUACCCAGCCCUACCUCUGUGAGAGUGGCCAUUGCUGUGGGGAGACUGGCUGCUGCACCUACUACUAUGAACUCUGGUGGUUCUGGCUGCUUUGGACUGUCCUCAUCCUCUUUAGCUGUUGUUGUGCCUUCCGCCACCGAAGAGCUAAACUCAGGCUGCAACAGCAACAGCGGCAGCGUGAAAUCAACUUGUUGGCUUACCAUGGGGCGUGCCACGGGGCUGGCCCUGUUCCAACUGGUUCACUGCUUGACCUUCGUGAGUGACUUGGCUCUUGGGUGCAGAACCAGUAGCCCCUCCCAAGCCAGGACCCUCAACCGCACUUCUACUGGCAGACAUUUCAGAGCAUUUUCCCCUAAAAGGAGAGAUGGCUGU
RNAcentral lists this long non-coding RNA (1509 nucleotides) under Rattus norvegicus (Norway rat). RNAcentral describes it as "long non-coding RNA NONRATT021530". The record is from RNAcentral. Lineage: Eukaryota; Metazoa; Chordata; Mammalia; Rodentia; Muridae.